This 73-nucleotide transfer RNA is filed under the name Alligator mississippiensis (American alligator). It matches the Rfam family "tRNA". From Rfam's summary of the family: Transfer RNA (tRNA) molecules are approximately 80 nucleotides in length. Their secondary structure includes four short double-helical elements and three loops (D, anti-codon, and T loops). Lineage: Eukaryota; Metazoa; Chordata; Crocodylia; Alligatoridae. The record is from Rfam by way of RNAcentral.
GGGCCAGUGGCGCAAUGGAUAACGCGUCUGACUACGAAUCAGAAGAUUGUAGGUUCAACUCCUGCCUGGCUCG